Molecule: non-coding RNA, 840 nt
Filed under: Pongo abelii (Sumatran orangutan)
Lineage: Eukaryota; Metazoa; Chordata; Mammalia; Primates; Hominidae
Source: RNAcentral
GGAUAAUGCAAGUGUUUAACAGAUGCUUCACUAUUAAAAUAUUUUCCCCCCAAGUCUCAAAUAUUGAAGAAUCUCUAACCAGGCUCGAAACGCCGGUCUCAGUGACUAUUGAGUUACCCACCAAGUUACCCCGGUUAGAGCUGUUUGGGGUGGCUCACGUUAUUGCGGCAAACUUUGGAGAUGACGGCUGAGUCCUCUGGGCGAACAUGUCAAGCCGAUUGUAAAUGCUGUUAUUUCCACAUCCUUCAGGGACACCAGUCCCAACGAAGACCUUGGGCGAUUUCAAAGUGCGGGCACCUCGAUUCCCCGAAUCUGUAGUGUGGCUGGUAUCGGUGUUUCCCUGGUUUAACUAGCCUGCUUGAAGGCGCAGAUCAUUCAUGGGGAAGUAAAACCGAAACCAGUCCUCUCCACCCCCUGCGGGUCUUCACUUUCCCAGUCUACAUCUGCCUGUGACUCCAGAAAGACAAACUGCAGAUUGGCCAAGUGCCUUUCAAAUUGUUUUUUACUGGAUGAAGAAACUCAACCAAGAAAAUAUAUGUCAAUUCUUGUAUAUGGGACAAUAUUAGCUGCUGUGAUUUUUAAUACUAGCAUAAAAUAUAAGAAUGUUUUUAUUACUGUGACAUUGUUUUUUUCUAAAUGAAUGCAUAGUGUAACAAUUGGUGUCAAAAAGCAUUGAAUUUUUUUCAAAUGGAUUAAGCUGGAAUAAUAAAGUGUAUCUAUGAGAUGAUUUCUGUAAACUCUGACUUGCUGAGAAAAAAGUGAAAAAGCUUUUUCUGGAAGAAACAUGGCAACUUAACCAUUAUUAAUCUGGACUAAAUAAAACAGGAAACUGCUUCUUUA